Molecule: ribosomal RNA, 883 nt
Filed under: uncultured bacterium
Lineage: Bacteria
Description: bacterial SSU rRNA
Rfam family: Bacterial small subunit ribosomal RNA
Source: RNAcentral
AUGAUCCUGGCUCAGAACGAACGCUGGCGGCGCGCCUAAUACAUGCAAGUCGAGCGAGAAGACGUAGCAAUACGUUUGUAAAGCGGCGAACGGGUGAGGAAUACAUGGGUAACCUACCCUCGAGUGGGGAAUAACUAGCCGAAAGGUUAGCUAAUACCGCAUACGACUCUCGGUCUGCGGAUCGGGAGGGAGAGCGAUACCGUGGGUAUCGCGCUCCUGGAUGGGCUCAUGUCCUAUCAGCUUGUUGGUGAGGUAACGGCUCACCAAGGCUUCGACGGGUAGCUGGUCUGAGAGGACGAUCAGCCACACUGGCACUGCGACACGGGCCAGACUCCUACGGGAGGCAGCAGUAAGGAAUAUUGCGCAAUGGGCGACAGCCUGACGCAGCGACGCCGCGUGGGGGAUGAAGGUCUUCGGAUUGUAAACCCCUUUCGGCAGGGAAGAUGGAACGGGAAACCGUUCGGACGGUACCUGCAGAAGCAGCCACGGCUAACUUCGUGCCAGCAGCCGCGGUAAUACGAAGGUGGCAAGCGUUGUUCGGAUUUACUGGGCGUACAGGGAGCGUAGGCGGUUGGGUAAGCCCUUCGUGGAACCUCCGGGCCUAACCCGGAAAGUGCGGAGGGGACUGCUCGGCUAGAGGAUGGGAGAGGAGCGCGGAAUUCCCGGUGUAGCGGUGAAAUGCGUAGAGAUCGGGAGGAAGGCCGGUGGCGAAGGCGGCGCUCUGGAACAUUUCUGACGCUGAGGCUCGAAAGCGUGGGGAGCAAACAGGAUUAGAUACCCUGGUAGUCCACGCCUUAAACGAUGGAUACUAAGUGUCGGCGGGUUACCGCCGGUGCCGCAGCUAACGCAGUAAGUAUCCCGCCUGGGAAGUACGGCCGCAAGG